RNAcentral lists this ribosomal RNA (490 nucleotides) under uncultured bacterium. RNAcentral's name for it is "partial 16S ribosomal RNA". It matches the Rfam family "Bacterial small subunit ribosomal RNA", at positions 28 to 507 of the family's 1533-position model. The record is from RNAcentral.
GAUGAACGCUAGCUACAGGCUUAACACAUGCAAGUCGCGGGGCAGCAUGGGGGUUGCUUGCAAUCCCCGAUGGCGACCGGCGCACGGGUGAGUAACGCGUAUCCAACCUGCCCUUCACCACGGGAUAACCCGGCGAAAGUCGGACUAAUACCGUAUGUUGUCCAUUGACGGCAUCCGAUUUGGACGAAAGGCUUGGCGGUGAGGGAUGGGGAUGCGUCCGAUUAGCCAGACGGCGGGGUAACGGCCCACCGUGGCUACGAUCGGUAGGGGUUCUGAGAGGAAGGUCCCCCACACUGGAACUGAGACACGGUCCAGACUCCUACGGGAGGCAGCAGUGAGGAAUAUUGGUCAAUGGGCGUAAGCCUGAACCGGCCAAGUAGCGUGCAGGAUGACGGCCCUACGGGUUGUAAACUGCUUUUAUGCGGGGAUAAAGUGGCCCACGUGUGGGCUUUUGCAGGUACCGCAUGAAUAAGGACCGGCUAAUUCCGUG